This 491-nucleotide ribosomal RNA is filed under the name uncultured bacterium. Its description in RNAcentral is "partial 16S ribosomal RNA". It matches the Rfam family "Bacterial small subunit ribosomal RNA", at positions 29 to 506 of the family's 1533-position model. The record is from RNAcentral.
AGUGAACGCUGGCGGUAGGCCUAACACAUGCAAGUCGAACGGCAGCACAGUAAGAGCUUGCUCUUACGGGUGGCGAGUGGCGGACGGGUGAGGAAUACAUCGGAAUCUACUUUUUCGUGGGGGAUAACGUAGGGAAACUUACGCUAAUACCGCAUACGACCUACGGGUGAAAGCAGGGGAUCUUCGGACCUUGCGCGAUUGAAUGAGCCGAUGUCGGAUUAGCUAGUUGGCGGGGUAAAGGCCCACCAAGGCGACGAUCCGUAGCUGGUCUGAGAGGAUGAUCAGCCACACUGGAACUGAGACACGGUCCAGACUCCGACGGGUGGCAGCAGUGGGGAAUAUUGGACAAUGGGCGCAAGCCUGAUCCAGCCAUACCGCGUGGGUGAAGAAGGCCUUCGGGUUGUAAAGCCCUUUUGUUGGGAAAGAAAAGCAGCAGGUUAAUACCCCGCUGUUCUGACGGUACCCAAAGAAUAAGCACCGGCUAACUUCGU